GCUGCCGUAGCUCAGUGGUAGAGCACACCCUUGGUAAGGGUGAGGUCGGUGGUUCAAUCCCACUCGGCAGCACCA
Molecule: transfer RNA, 75 nt
Filed under: Rhizobium leguminosarum
Lineage: Bacteria; Pseudomonadati; Pseudomonadota; Alphaproteobacteria; Hyphomicrobiales; Rhizobiaceae
Also listed under: 271 other names
Description: tRNA-Thr
Rfam family: tRNA
About the family: Transfer RNA (tRNA) molecules are approximately 80 nucleotides in length. Their secondary structure includes four short double-helical elements and three loops (D, anti-codon, and T loops). Further hydrogen bonds mediate the characteristic L-shaped molecular structure. tRNAs have two regions of fundamental functional importance: the anti-codon, which is responsible for specific mRNA codon recognition, and the 3' end, to which the tRNAs corresponding amino acid is attached (by aminoacyl-tRNA synthetases). tRNAs cope with the degeneracy of the genetic code in two manners: having more than one tRNA (with a specific anti-codon) for a particular amino acid; and 'wobble' base-pairing, i.e. permitting non-standard base-pairing at the 3rd anti-codon position.
Source: RNAcentral